CCUUAGCCCAGAUGGUAGUGGCAUCCUGUGUGCCUGGGGUUCAGGCACACAGAUAUAACGGACAGCUGGAUUUGGC
RNAcentral lists this small RNA (76 nucleotides) under Flavobacterium aquicola. Its description in RNAcentral is "Flavo-1 RNA". It matches the Rfam family "Flavo-1 RNA". The record is from RNAcentral. Lineage: Bacteria; Pseudomonadati; Bacteroidota; Flavobacteriia; Flavobacteriales; Flavobacteriaceae.